GACGUAGGUGGCGACCGUUAUCCGGAAUUACUGGGCGUAAAGCGUGCGCAGGCGGUCCGCUAAGACAGAUGUGAAAUCCCCGGGCUUAACCUGGGAACUGCAUUUGUGACUGGCGGGCUAGAGUAUGGCAGAGGGGGGUAGAAUUCCACGUGUAGCAGUGAAAUGCGUAGAGAUGUGGAGGAAUACCGAUGGCGAAGGCAGCCCCCUGGGCCAAUACUGACGCUCAUGCACGAAAGCGUGGGGAGCAAACAGG
RNAcentral lists this ribosomal RNA (253 nucleotides) under uncultured bacterium. RNAcentral describes it as "partial 16S ribosomal RNA". It matches the Rfam family "Bacterial small subunit ribosomal RNA", at positions 524 to 776 of the family's 1533-position model. The record is from RNAcentral.